GUUUGCAAAGUUGUUUUUGGACGCUGAAAAGAUGUCUGCAGAGAAAAAAGGGGAUAUUCUGUGCUUCUUUAUCAACGGGAAAAAGGUGACAGAGAAGCAUGCAGACCCUGAGACCAUGCUGCUGCCUUUCCUCCGAGAGAAACUGAGGUUAACUGGGACCAAGUCUGGCUGCGGCGGCGGAGGCUGCGGGGCGUGCACCGUCAUGGUGUCGCGCUACCAACCCGCCACCAAAACCAUCACGUAUCCUUUCUGAUAAACCACACGACCUUUCUGCUUGACCCUGAUUGGCUGAGAUUCAGACGAGCUGUGACCUCGUUAUUAGUCAUUUUUCAAACUUGAGCAAAUCAGCAACCAACUCUGCAAGAAAAGUCUCACAAAUUGUAAGAAAUAAGUAAAAGGUGACAGAAAAUUACAUGAAAAUUAGGUAUGUAUGUUUCGUGCAGAGCGAAAACAUACAAUGCCUUUGCAGAAAAAAGAGCAUAU
Non-coding RNA from Plectropomus leopardus (leopard coralgrouper), 483 nucleotides. The record is from RefSeq and is a predicted model, not a curated record. Lineage: Eukaryota; Metazoa; Chordata; Actinopteri; Perciformes; Serranidae.